RNAcentral lists this ribosomal RNA (497 nucleotides) under uncultured bacterium. Its description in RNAcentral is "partial 16S ribosomal RNA". It matches the Rfam family "Bacterial small subunit ribosomal RNA", at positions 28 to 507 of the family's 1533-position model. The record is from RNAcentral.
GAUGAACGCUGGCGGCGUGCCUAAUACAUGCAAGUCGAGCGAACGGACGAGAAGCUUGCUUCUCUGAUGUUAGCGGCGGACGGGUGAGUAACACGUGGAUAACCUACCUAUAAGACUGGGAUAACUUCGGGAAACCGGAGCUAAUACCGGAUAAUAUUUUGAACCGCAUGGUUCAAAAGUGAAAGACGGUCUUGCUGUCACUUAUAGAUGGAUCCGCGCUGCAUUAGCCAGUUGGUAAGGUAACGGCUUACCAAGGCAACGAUGCAUAGCCGACCUGAGAGGGUGAUCGGCCACACUGGAACUGAGACACGGUCCAGACUCCUACGGGAGGCAGCAGUAGGGAAUCUUCCGCAAUGGGCGAAAGCCUGACGGAGCAACGCCGCGUGAGUGAUGAAGGUCUUCGGAUCGUAAAACUCUGUUAUUAGGGAGGAACAUAUGUGUAAGUAACUGUGCACAUCUUGACGGUACCUAAUCAGAAAGCCACGGCUAACUACGUG